CCUACGGGAGGCAGCAGUAGGGAAUUUUCGGCAAUGGGCGGAAGCCUGACCGAGCAAUGCCGCGUGAACGAAGAAGGUCUUCGGAUUGUAAAGUUCUGUUAUUAGGAAAGAAAGGCAUAUCGAGGAAAUGCGAUAUGUUUGACGGUACCGAAUGAGGAAGCCCCGGCUAACUACGUGCCAGCAGCCGCGGUAAUACGUAGGGGGCAAGCGUUAUCCGGAAUUAUUGGGCGUAAAGCGUGCGUAGGCGGUUUAUUAAGUCAUUUGUAAAAGAUCUCAGCUCAACUGAGUAGGGCAGAUGAAACUGAUGGACUUGAGUACGGUAGAGGUAAGUGGAAUUCCAUGUGUAGCGGUGGAAUGCGUAGAUAUAUGGAGGAACACCAAUGGCGAAGGCAGCUUACUGGGCCGGAACUGACGCUGAGGCACGAAAGCGUGGGGAGCAA
Molecule: ribosomal RNA, 440 nt
Filed under: uncultured bacterium
Lineage: Bacteria
Description: bacterial SSU rRNA
Rfam family: Bacterial small subunit ribosomal RNA
Source: RNAcentral